GUUCACAUACAUGGCUCAGUUGGUUAGAGGGUGGUGCUGAUAACCCCAAGGUUGCAGGUUGGAUCCCUGUAUGGGACA
This 78-nucleotide transfer RNA is filed under the name Podarcis lilfordi (Lilford's wall lizard). RNAcentral describes it as "tRNA.Ile". Lineage: Eukaryota; Metazoa; Chordata; Lepidosauria; Squamata; Lacertidae. The record is from RNAcentral.